CCCUUAGAUGUUCUGGGCUGCACGCGUGCUACACUGAUUCUUUCAACAAGUGUUUUAACUGGAGAGUUUGCGUAAUCCUGAAAUGCUAUCGUGAUGGGAGUAGAGUAUUGUAUUUGUUAAUCUUUAACGAGGAAUUCCUAGUAAGUGUAGGUUUAUAAGUUGUUCUGAUUACGUCCCUGCCCUUUGUACACACCGCCCGUCGCUCCUACCGAUUGAUUGAUCCGGUGAAUUACAUAGAAUUUUGCGUUUUACAUGACGGAAGAUGAAGUGUUUUAAACCUUAUCAUUUAGAGGAAGGAGAAGUCGUAACA
This 310-nucleotide ribosomal RNA is filed under the name uncultured eukaryote. RNAcentral describes it as "partial 18S ribosomal RNA". It matches the Rfam family "Eukaryotic small subunit ribosomal RNA", at positions 1470 to 1796 of the family's 1831-position model. The record is from RNAcentral.